Molecule: ribosomal RNA, 544 nt
Filed under: Hoplostethus mediterraneus (Mediterranean slimehead)
Lineage: Eukaryota; Metazoa; Chordata; Actinopteri; Trachichthyiformes; Trachichthyidae
Description: partial 16S large subunit ribosomal RNA
Rfam family: Bacterial large subunit ribosomal RNA (bases 194-544)
Source: RNAcentral
AGCCCAGCAGCUAGCCCACAACACACCCCCCCCCCAACAAACAACUAUUAAUACCCCUUAAUGACCUUAAGACAAAACAAACCAAACCAUUUUUCCCCCUUAGUAUGGGCGACAGAAAAGGACCUAUGGAGCAACAGAAAAAGUACCGCAAGGGAAAGCUGAAAAAGAAAUGAAACAACCCAUUUAAGCCUAAAAAAGCAGAGAUUUAAACUCGUACCUUUUGCAUCAUGAUUUAGCUAGUACCCUUAAGCAAAGAGCCCUUUAGUUUAAUACCCCGAAACUGAGCGAGCUACUCCAAGACAGCCCAUAUGGGGCAAACCCGUCUCUGUGGCAAAAGAGUGGGAAGAGCUUUGAGUAGAGGUGACAGACCUACCGAGCCCAGUUAUAGCUGGUUGCCUAAGAAAUGAAUAGAAGUUCAGCCUCCGAGAUUCCCAACCCAAACUAGUCUCACCAAAUUUGGCCCCGGGAAGCCCAGAGAGUUAGUCAAAAGAGGUACAGCUCUUUUGAAACAAGAUACAACUUUACCAGGAGGAUAAAGAUCAAA